UGAAGAAUCUGAGGAUCAUGUUGAAGCUGA
Molecule: non-coding RNA, 30 nt
Filed under: Rattus norvegicus (Norway rat)
Lineage: Eukaryota; Metazoa; Chordata; Mammalia; Rodentia; Muridae
Source: RNAcentral